Molecule: ribosomal RNA, 266 nt
Filed under: uncultured prokaryote
Description: partial 16S ribosomal RNA
Rfam family: Bacterial small subunit ribosomal RNA
Source: RNAcentral
UACGUAGGGAGCGAGCGUUGUCCGGAAUUACUGGGCGUAAAGGGUGCGUAGGCGGCAUGGCAAGUCAGAUGUGAAAUUCCCGGGCUUAACUCGGGGGGUGCAUUUGAAACUGCUGUGCUUGAGUGCAGGAGAGGAAAGCGGAAUUCCUAGUGUAGCGGUAAAAUGCGUAGAUAUUAGGAGGAACACCGGUGGCGAAGGCGGCUAUCUGGACAGUAACUGACGCUGAGGCGCGAAAGCGUGGGGAGCAAACAGGAUUAGAUACCCCU